UGUGGCUCAGUGGUAGAGCACUUGUCUGGCAUGCAGGAAGCCUUGGGUUUGAUCCUCAACA
RNAcentral lists this transfer RNA (61 nucleotides) under Urocitellus parryii (Arctic ground squirrel). Its description in RNAcentral is "Spermophilus parryii (Arctic ground squirrel) tRNA". It matches the Rfam family "tRNA", at positions 6 to 65 of the family's 71-position model. From Rfam's summary of the family: Transfer RNA (tRNA) molecules are approximately 80 nucleotides in length. Their secondary structure includes four short double-helical elements and three loops (D, anti-codon, and T loops). RNAcentral also lists the same sequence under 2 other names. The record is from Rfam by way of RNAcentral. Lineage: Eukaryota; Metazoa; Chordata; Mammalia; Rodentia; Sciuridae.